GAUGAACGCUGGCGGCGUGCCUAAUACAUGCAAGUCGAGCGAACGGACGAGAAGCUUGCUUCUCUGAUGUUAGCGGCGGACGGGUGAGUAACACGUGGAUAACCUACCUAUAAGACUGGGAUAACUUCGGGAAACCGGAGCUAAUACCGGAUAAUAUUUUGAACCGCAUGGUUCAAAAGUGAAAGACGGUCUUGCUGUCACUUAUAGAUGGAUCCGCGCUGCAUUAGCUAGUUGGUAAGGUAACGGCUUACCAAGGCAACGAUGCAUAGCCGACCUGAGAGGGUGAUCGGCCACACUGGAACUGAGCCACGGUCCAGACUCCUACGGGAGGCAGCAGUAGGGAAUCUUCCGCAAUGGGCGAAAGCCCGACGGAGCAACGCCGCGUGAGUGAUGAAGGUCUUCGGAUCGUAAAACUCUGUUAUUAGGGAAGAACAUAUGUGUAAGUAACUGUGCACAUCUUGACGGUACCUAAUCAGAAAGCCACGGCUAACUACGUG
Molecule: ribosomal RNA, 497 nt
Filed under: uncultured bacterium
Lineage: Bacteria
Description: partial 16S ribosomal RNA
Rfam family: Bacterial small subunit ribosomal RNA
Source: RNAcentral